This 856-nucleotide ribosomal RNA is filed under the name Exophiala crusticola. RNAcentral's name for it is "partial large subunit ribosomal RNA". It matches the Rfam family "Eukaryotic large subunit ribosomal RNA", at positions 68 to 937 of the family's 3401-position model. Lineage: Eukaryota; Fungi; Ascomycota; Eurotiomycetes; Chaetothyriales; Herpotrichiellaceae. The record is from RNAcentral.
ACAGGGAUUGCCUCAGUAACGGCGAGUGAAGCGGCAACAGCUCAAAUUUGAAAUCUGGCCUCUUUGGGGUCCGAGUUGUAAUUUGUAGAGGAUGUUUCGGGUACCGCCCCGGUCUAAAUUUCUUGGAACAGAAUGUCAUAGAGGGUGAGAAUCCCGUCUUGGACCGGCGGUAGGGCCCAUGUGAAACUCCUUCGACGAGUCGAGUUGUUUGGGAAUGCAGCUCAAAUUGGGUGGUAAAUUUCAUCUAAAGCUAAAUACCUGCCAGAGACCGAUAGCGCACAAGUAGAGUGAUCGAAAGAUGAAAAGCACUUUGAAAAGAGAGUUAAACAGUAUGUGAAAUUGUUGAAAGGGAAGCGCUUACAACCAGACUUGAGCGCGGCGGUUCCCCCUUCCUUCUGGUUGGGUUAUUCCGUCGUGUCCAGACCAACAUCGGUUCUGGGGGCCGGUUAAAGGCUCUGGGAAUGUACCUACUCCUUCGGGUGUAGACUUAUAGCCCAGGGUGUCAUGCGGCCUCCCGGGACCGAGGAACGCGCUUCGGCUCGGAUGUUGGUGCAAUGGUUGUCAGCGACCCGUCUUGAAACACGGACCAAGGAGUCUAACAUCUAUGCGAGUGUUUGGGUGUCAAACCCGGAACGCGGAAUGAAAGUGAACGGAGGUAGGAAGCUCUCGGGCUGCACUAUCGACCGAUCCUGAUGUCUUCGGAUGGAUUUGAGUAAGAGCAUAGCUGUUGGGACCCGAAAGAUGGUGAACUAUGCCUGAAUAGGGUGAAGCCAGAGGAAACUCUGGUGGAGGCUCGCAGCGGUUCUGACGUGCAAAUCGAUCGUCAAAUUUGGGUAUAGGGGCGAAAGACUAAUCG